RNAcentral lists this long non-coding RNA (497 nucleotides) under Olea europaea subsp. europaea. The record is from RNAcentral. Lineage: Eukaryota; Viridiplantae; Streptophyta; Magnoliopsida; Lamiales; Oleaceae.
CUUCCACAUCAUAAUUGACAUCCACAAAUCCCUCCCCAAUCAACACCAGAACCUCAACCACUGCACCCUCAUCUCCAUUUUUCUUAACAUCAUCUCCAAUUUUCUUUCUUUGACCUAAAUUUGAUCAAUUCCUCAUUCUUCCAGUUCUUUACAUGCUUUCUUAUACAUUUUCUCUGUCUCUUUCUUGCUAUAGUGGUGGUGGCGGCGAUGGUGCUUUUGACGGUUGGAAGGCUCCUCCGAGUCUUUAAGAGAAAUCGAGCAAUGGCGAUUGCACUGCGUAGAUUCAUCUCUGCCUCUCUUUCCCUCAACCGUGGUUACCACAACUUCGCUGUCAUAUACUACCUCCAACUUCACUGCCGCCAAUGCUACUGAGUAUUUCUAGAGCGAGGAUGAGGAUGUUGUGCUCUAACUCAGGUAAAGCCCACCAAUUUCAGGAUUGAGAUAAUGGUUUCAAAGAAAUGUGGGAAAUGGGCUGAAUCUUGGGAGUUUAGGUUGAA